Molecule: ribosomal RNA, 439 nt
Filed under: uncultured bacterium
Lineage: Bacteria
Description: partial 16S ribosomal RNA
Rfam family: Bacterial small subunit ribosomal RNA
Source: RNAcentral
CCUACGGGUGGCAGCAGUGGGGGAUAUUGCACAAUGGGGGAAACCCUGAUGCAGCGCUGCCGCGUGAAUGAAGACGGCCUUCGGGUUGGAAAGUUCUGUCGCAGGGGACGAAAAUGACGGUACCCUGCAAGAAAUCUCCGGCUAACUAAGUGCCAGCAGCCGCGGUAAUACGUAGGGAGCAAGCGUUGUCCGGACUUACUGGAUGUAAAGGGAACGUAGGCGGGAGGAUAAGGUGAAUGUGAAAUCUAUGGGGUCAACCCAUGGCUGCGUUCAAAACGGUUCUUCUUGAGUGAAGUAGAGGCAGGCGGAAUUCCUAGUGUAGCGGUGAAAUGCGUAGAUAUUAGGAGGAACACCAGUGGCGAAGGCGGCCUGCUGGGCUUUUACUGACGCUGAGGCUCGAAAGCGUGGGUAGCAAACAGGAUUAGAUACCCUUGUAGUC